Molecule: long non-coding RNA, 4206 nt
Organism: Marmota monax (woodchuck)
Lineage: Eukaryota; Metazoa; Chordata; Mammalia; Rodentia; Sciuridae
Exons: 3
Source: RefSeq, a predicted model, not a curated record
CUAGGGGAUUGGUGGGGAACAGAUCCUUCCCCCUGAACCUCCUAAAGGAACCAACCCUGCAGACACCUGGAUUCUGCACUUCUAAUCUCCAGAACUGUGAGGAUAAGUUUCUGUUGUUUUAAGUCCCCCAGUCACAAUACUUUGUUAUAGCAGCUCUAGCAGACUAAUACAUCAGGCUGAGGAAAGCAAGUCCGUGUGAGGCACAGAGCCUCCUUAGAAGGACAGCAGAACCAUGGACACAUUUGCUGGCUUCCUUCAGAAUCUGGAUCCACCGAUGGAUUCACCUCCUACAAGUUCUAGAAAAUGUGGAGAGCAACUGAGCAAAUGUGGAGAGUGACAGACAACUUGGGGAACAGGACAGAGAGAGCCAGGACCGGCCGCUGGGUCCCCACCAGAACCAACUCUGGCUGGGUCUGGAGAGCACACAGGGGAAACUCAUCAAAGGAAAUGGAAAUCCAAGUCCUCGCUAGUUUCUGACAACUCUAGGGACUACAGGAAGGAGAUGCCACAUCCAUACUGCUUGGGACUCUGGCUAUCAAGCAAGAUGUUCACUCUGAUGAGAACAAACUGGGAUCCCAUGAGAGGUACCUAAUCCCAUCCAAGGCCAGUGCCCCCAGUGACCACCCACUAGUCUCUACCUCUGGAAGCUCACUCCACCUUGGUACUGCCACACUGAGGACCAAGGCUCCAACACAUGAGCUUUUGGGGGACAAAACGCAUGUAAACCGCAGCAGGUGAGUGUGUUUCCUUGAGUCCUGAUGAGAACAUGAACUCUGAACCCAAACUGUUUAUCUCAGCCAGAGACAAAGAGGAGUGACCUAUCUGAAAAGCUCUUUAAAUGUCUGAUAAGAGUCGUGAAUCAUCUUUGUAUAUGUGUUUACACUGAAAAACACAAACUGUUUUUACUCACAAAGUGAUAACAGGUGCUCUGAGGAAGUUGUGCCCAGUAAGAGCUGGAAAUUUCCCGGUUUCAGGCUUUGUAUUGAGGUUUCUGGUGCAAAAGGAAUGACUUAUUCAAUUUCAGUUUAUACUAAGAUUUUCUCAGAAAACUGAAAGGUUUGUUUCCCCAACUUGUAUGCAGUCAGGGUGAUUUUUGACUGAGGGAAAGGUAAAGCCCCGUAAGAAACAUUCCAGAAUCAAUAACCAUCUCCCAGAAGACAAUCGGGUAGGGCUGGGGGUGGUGUAGCUGGGGAUGGAGCACUUGCUCAGCAGGCUUAAGGCCCUGGGUUCAACCCCCAGUACGGCAAAAAAAUAAAAUAAGAAAGAAGAUGAUCAAGUAACUGCUCUAACGAGUAGAAAUGAAGCAGAAAAAUGCAGAGUGUAUUGAAUAUAAGAAAACGUGGAGAAUUAGGGUUAUCUUAUCAGAGAAAUCCUAGCCUAGAAACAAGAAGAGUAUAGACCAUAAGUCAGCAACUUUUCUGUAAGAGACCAAGAGAGGGUACUAAAUGCUUUAGACUUCUUGGGUCCCAGAGGCUCUGUGAAAACUGCUUAACUGUAAAUUGUGGCAGAAAUGCAACCGUAAAUGAUGGGUCAAAGAGCAGACAUGACUGGUUUCCAGUAAGAUUUUAUUUGUGGACACUGAAAUGUGAAUUUCAUCUAAUUUUCAUGUAUCACUAAAUAUUAUUCCUUUCUUAACUUUUCAGCAAUUUAAAAAUAAAUAAGCCAUCCUUACAAUGUAGUCUAUACAAAAAAUAGGCAGUGGUCUGAGGUGGUGGUUUGUCUACCCUCAGUGUGACCAUAAACUAGUGUACAGCAACAUCAGCUACCAGAUCCAAAGACCUUAAGGUGGGAAUUCUUCUUUAGAUAGGGUGUUAUUAUCCAGACUACACAUAAAGCUUACAUUAUAUGCAACCAUGGAAGUAGCAUUUAAACAUUCACAUUCCAACUCCCAUCACACACACAAACACCUGGCUUAAGACCAUGAGUGCUUUUUUGUAGUGGUUCUCAAAGUGUAGUCCCUGGACCAGCAGAUACUGGGAAUUCUUUAGAAAUUCAUCUUCUCAGGCUCCAGCCUAACCCAUUGCAUCAGAAACUCUGUGGGAUGGGGCACAGCAACCUCUACUUUAAUAAAUCAUCUGAAUGAUUCUCAUAUUUCUCAAGUUUGAGUACCAUUGAAGUAGGAAUGAAUGGAGUGACUCAGGCUAGGGUGUUCACUAUACCUCUGCCUGAUGAUGCUGAGCAUCAGCCUCAGCUUCUCAUAAUGGAAUCAAGGGAAAAGGUAUAGUUAUGAUUUGCCUAUGGCCACUUCUGCUUUAUAAAGGAGAUUUAACCUUCAAAUAAAAGAGAAAAAUAAUCUUUAGGUCUCUUUCUUCCAUUGACCUUGGCUAGAGAAAAAGGAGAGGGGAAAGACUGAAAUUUCAAAGUCAUGCACCUACAAUGCCGUCUACAAUGCAGGCAGCUGCAGGAAGCAGAGUGGAAAACACGCGUGAAUCUAUGAACCGUGGCACCUGGAAUCUGGCUCUUAGAAGAUCUUCAACAACUGGUGAUCAUGAUUGGCGAAGUGGUUGUUAUUGAAUCUGCUAUGUUUUGAAUUACCAAGCUUGUCAAUUUUGAGAAGUAAUUCCAUUUUUUAGACUGAAGAUUUUGAUGGAAAAUCCUGAUCCCUCUAGGCUAAGUGUCUCUCUUAGUUAAUUAUGAUCGUAGAGGGCUCCUUGGAUCAGGAUAUGAUCAUAACCCAAGGGGACCACUUGCCUGGGGGCAGCUAGAUUGAAACCCUCUGAGGAGAUCAUCCUCCUACUUGCACUGAGGUUGAAAAAGGCCAAUGUAAUGUCACAAAAGUGUCCACAAACUAUGGGCCAAAUCUGGCCCAUGGCACUGCUAAGAAUGAUUUAUAUAUUUUUAAAGCUUGUGAAAGAAAAAAAAAGGUCACCAAAACCCCAAAUCAAGGCAUAUUUGACAAAGAUUAUAUAUAGCCAACAUAGCCCCAAAUAUUUACUAUCUGGUUCUUUAUGGAAACUUUGCAGUCCUGACUCAGGCCAUGGUGGCUCUCAGACCCCAUAGUUAGGGAGAGGGAGAAGAACUCAGGGGUUUGUGUGUGUGACAAACACCUGGAGAAGCCCCACAUUCAGGGAUGUACCUGGUAUUUAAACCUGGUAUUGUGUUUAGUCCCAGGAAAGGGCUGGGAAGCACGUUAUUCUGUUCCUUUCUCAUGACCCCACAGCGCCAGGCCCAGGGAGGAGAAAGGAGCUCAGAUCUCAGGGUUGAAGUUGGUCCUGCAGAUAUACCGCUCCGCAGCCCCAGAAGCCCCAGGAGGGAGCCUCUGGCAGGGACAGUUGGCUUAGCCUGAGGGGGAGCAGAAGUGAGGUAACCUAGGAACAAGGUCACUGUCUGUAAGCCAGAGGCGGGCUGUGAUCUGAGAGUAGGAGAGGACUCCCAAGAGAGUCUAGUGCCCAAGGCUGAGGUCUCCUCCAGCUCAGGAAGCUGGUCACUUCCUAAGGAAGCCUGAGCUUGGGGUGGGUAUUAUCCUACAGUGUCCCAUUCAGGGCGCCACAUAGGUGAUCUCUCUGCCCUACCUUCUGCCCGAGCACUUGGUUCACUGCCUUGCUAAGCUGUUGGGGAAAAGGGCAGCACCUUCCCGGGCCCUUCCUUCCUCACCUUCUUCCUGCACAUACAACCAGGGGACCUUUCCAAUUGCCACAUCAGCAUGUUUGGGUUCAGGGUAAGACAGAUUGUGAGGUGGGAAUCUAGACUCCACAUCUGAUGCUUUGUUUUGAAUCCUAUGUCUCCCUCACUCCUGUUGGCACAGGGGGAACACCUGCAGAGUGGAAUUUGAAUAGAGGCGCAUUCCUCUUAGGGGAAAAAUCCCUCUGCCUGCCUGGCAGAGGCUAAGCCCUUAGGCCAAAGCACCCAGGGUCCCUGGUGGCCCUGCUGAUUCAGCAGUCCUACCUGCCCUGGCCCACUUAGGAAAGUCACUUGAUGGCCCCCAACAUGCUCUAGGUAGCCAGGUAAGUGACUACCCCGGCCCCCUUGAGGGUGCAGAUCUAGCAUGGGUGAUGGGGAGUGCAGGACUGGGUAGUUAGGUAGGACUGAGCAGGGUGGAAAGACCCUAGGACUGCACAAGGGUGGGGCUACCUCAAGAUGCCACCUGCUGCCAGGGUCCAAGAGCUGUUGUCUCCUGGCAUUUUGCAGAAUAGGAGAGGUCAAGUCAGGGGAAGGUUGUUUGGAGCUCUCUAACAAGAGGGACCUUGUCUCUUUGGUUCCCUGCUG